RNAcentral lists this transfer RNA (28 nucleotides) under Sceloporus slevini. RNAcentral describes it as "partial tRNA-Leu". Lineage: Eukaryota; Metazoa; Chordata; Lepidosauria; Squamata; Phrynosomatidae. The record is from RNAcentral.
UUAAAGGAUAAAAGUAAUCCUUUGGUCU